AGUCCCGUGGGGUAGCGGCCAAUCCUUCGAGCUUCUGGGGCUCGAGACGGAAGUUCGAAUCUUCCCGGGACUA
RNAcentral lists this transfer RNA (73 nucleotides) under Natronomonas pharaonis DSM 2160. RNAcentral's name for it is "tRNA-Gln (CTG) (tRNA-Gln-CTG-1-1)". It matches the Rfam family "tRNA". From Rfam's summary of the family: Transfer RNA (tRNA) molecules are approximately 80 nucleotides in length. Their secondary structure includes four short double-helical elements and three loops (D, anti-codon, and T loops). Further hydrogen bonds mediate the characteristic L-shaped molecular structure. tRNAs have two regions of fundamental functional importance: the anti-codon, which is responsible for specific mRNA codon recognition, and the 3' end, to which the tRNAs corresponding amino acid is attached (by aminoacyl-tRNA synthetases). tRNAs cope with the degeneracy of the genetic code in two manners: having more than one tRNA (with a specific anti-codon) for a particular amino acid; and 'wobble' base-pairing, i.e. permitting non-standard base-pairing at the 3rd anti-codon position. RNAcentral also lists the same sequence under 1 other name. The record is from Rfam by way of RNAcentral. Lineage: Archaea; Methanobacteriati; Methanobacteriota; Halobacteria; Halobacteriales; Natronomonadaceae.